This 66-nucleotide microRNA precursor is filed under the name Human betaherpesvirus 5. RNAcentral describes it as "microRNA hcmv-mir-UL70 precursor". Its record names the gene hcmv-mir-UL70. The record is from miRBase by way of RNAcentral. Lineage: Duplodnaviria; Heunggongvirae; Peploviricota; Herviviricetes; Herpesvirales; Orthoherpesviridae.
GGUUGCGUCUCGGCCUCGUCCAGACUGGCGAUGAGCGCCGAGAGGGGGAUGGGCUGGCGCGCGGCC